AGUAACGGCGAGUGAAGCGGCAACAGCUCAAAUUUGAAAUCUGGCCCUCGGCCCGAGUUGUAAUUUGCAGAGGAUGCUUUGGGCGCUGGCGCCUUCCGAGUUCCCUGGAACGGGACGCCACAGAGGGUGAGAGCCCCGUAUGGUCGGACGCCUAGCCUGUGUAAAGCUCCUUCGACGAGUCGAGUAGUUUGGGAAUGCUGCUCAAAACGGGAGGUAAAUUUCUUCUAAAGCUAAAUACCGGCCAGAGACCGAUAGCGCACAAGUAGAGUGAUCGAAAGAUGAAAAGCACUUUGAAAAGAGGGUCAAACAGUACGUGAAAUUGUUGAAAGGGAAGCGCUCGUGACCAGACUUGCGCCCGGGGGCUCCGUCAGCGGUCUCCGCUGGCGUACUCCGCCGGGCGCAGGCCAGCAUCGGCUCCCCUAGGGGGAUAAAAGCUUCGGGAACGUGGCUCCUUCAGGAGUGUUAUAGCCCGCUGCAGAAUACCCUUCGGGGGGCCGAGGUACGCGCUCCGCAAGGAUGCUGGCGUAAUGGUCAUCAGCGGCCCGUCUUGAAACACGGACCAAGGAGUCAAGCAUUAGGGCGAGUGUCUGGGUGCCAAACCCGCACGCGGAAUGAAAGUGAACGCAGGUGAGAGCUUCGGCGCAUCAUCGACCGAUCCUGAUGUUCUCGGAUGGAUUUGAGUAGGAGCCUUACCGCUUGGACCCGAAAGAUGGUGAACUAUGCCUGUAUAGGGUGAAGCCAGAGGAAACUCUGGUGGAGGCUCGCAGCGGUUCUGACGUGCAAAUCGAUCG
This 791-nucleotide ribosomal RNA is filed under the name Fusoidispora aquatica. RNAcentral's name for it is "eukaryotic LSU rRNA". It matches the Rfam family "Eukaryotic large subunit ribosomal RNA", at positions 82 to 904 of the family's 3401-position model. Lineage: Eukaryota; Fungi; Ascomycota; Sordariomycetes; Sordariales. The record is from RNAcentral.